AGCCGGCCCAGGACCCAGUUCAACGGCCGCGGUAUCCUAACCGUGCGAAGGUAGCGUAAUCACUUGUUCUUUAAAUGAGGACUAGUAUGAAUGGCAUCACGAAGGUUAUACUGUCUCCUUUUUCUAAUCAAUGAAACUAAUCCCCCCGUGAAGAAGCGGGGAUUAAAAUAUAAGACGAGAAGACCCUAUGGAGCUUCAAACUAUAUAACACUGGCUUUAAUCAUUUAUUCCACAGGGUUCUCAUGUUAACUCUAGCCUUUUGAUUAUUAGUUUUGGGUUGGGGUGACCGCGGAGCAAAAAUUAUCCUCCAUGAUGAACAGAACUACUCUUGAGCCAAAAGCCACAACUUUAAGCACCAACAAACUGACAUAAAUUGACCCAAUAUCUUGAGCAACGAACCAAGUUACCCUAGGGAUAACAGCGCAAUCCACCCCAAGAGCCCCUAUCGACAGGUGGGUUUACGACCUCGAUGUUGGAUCAGGGUAUCCCAGUGGUGCAGCCGC
Molecule: ribosomal RNA, 503 nt
Filed under: Dendropsophus leucophyllatus (Bereis' treefrog)
Lineage: Eukaryota; Metazoa; Chordata; Amphibia; Anura; Hylidae
Description: partial 16S ribosomal RNA
Rfam family: Bacterial large subunit ribosomal RNA
Source: RNAcentral